GGCCCCAUCGUCUAGCGGUCUAGGACACCGGCCUCUCACGCCGGGAACAGGGGUUCGAGUCCCCUUGGGGUCACCA
This 76-nucleotide transfer RNA is filed under the name Desulfobulbus propionicus. RNAcentral's name for it is "tRNA-Glu". It matches the Rfam family "tRNA". From Rfam's summary of the family: Transfer RNA (tRNA) molecules are approximately 80 nucleotides in length. Their secondary structure includes four short double-helical elements and three loops (D, anti-codon, and T loops). Further hydrogen bonds mediate the characteristic L-shaped molecular structure. tRNAs have two regions of fundamental functional importance: the anti-codon, which is responsible for specific mRNA codon recognition, and the 3' end, to which the tRNAs corresponding amino acid is attached (by aminoacyl-tRNA synthetases). tRNAs cope with the degeneracy of the genetic code in two manners: having more than one tRNA (with a specific anti-codon) for a particular amino acid; and 'wobble' base-pairing, i.e. permitting non-standard base-pairing at the 3rd anti-codon position. The record is from RNAcentral. Lineage: Bacteria; Pseudomonadati; Thermodesulfobacteriota; Desulfobulbia; Desulfobulbales; Desulfobulbaceae. RNAcentral also lists the same sequence under 2 other names.